RNAcentral lists this ribosomal RNA (274 nucleotides) under uncultured bacterium. RNAcentral's name for it is "partial 16S ribosomal RNA". It matches the Rfam family "Bacterial small subunit ribosomal RNA", at positions 523 to 796 of the family's 1533-position model. The record is from RNAcentral.
AUACGGAGGGUGCAAGCGUUAAUCGGAAUUACUGGGCGUAAAGCGUACGUAGGUGGUUUAUUAAGUCAGAUGUGAAAGCCCCGGGCUCAACCUGGGAACUGCAUUUGAAACUAGUAGACUCGAGUAUGGUAGAGGGGGGUAGAAUUUCUAGUGCAGCGGUGAAAUGCGUAGAUAUUAGAAGGAAUACCAGUGGCGAAGGCGGCCCCCUGGACCAAUACUGACACUGAGGUACGAAAGCGUGGGUAGCGAACAGGAUUAGAUACCCUAGUAGUCC